UGAUAUUCCUGUACUACCGAUAACCGUUUGAGAGAAGGGAUGACACAGUAGGAUAAGCUAAGCACACUGUUGGUUAUGUGUGCCCAAGCAUUGAGGCGGUCAAAGUAGGCAAAUCCGCUUUGAUAAUGCUGGGAUGUGAUGGGGAGCGAAAUUUAGUAGCGAAGUAGCUGAUUUCACACUGUCAAGAAAAGUCUCUAUCGAGGUUAAAGGUACCCGUACCGCAAACCGACACAGGUGGGUGAGGAGAGUAUCCUAAGGCCAGCGAGAGAACUGUUGUUAAG
This 281-nucleotide ribosomal RNA is filed under the name Clostridioides difficile. Its description in RNAcentral is "partial 23S ribosomal RNA". It matches the Rfam family "Bacterial large subunit ribosomal RNA", at positions 1431 to 1709 of the family's 2925-position model. Lineage: Bacteria; Bacillati; Bacillota; Clostridia; Peptostreptococcales; Peptostreptococcaceae. The record is from RNAcentral.